UACAGAGGGUGCGAGCGUUAAUCGGAAUGACUGGGCGUAAAGGGUGCGUAGGUGGUUAGAUAAGUCAGAUGUGAAAUCCCUGGGCUUAACCUAGGAAUGGCAUUUGAGACUGUAAGACUAGAGUAUGGUAGAGGGAAGUGGAAUUUCCGGUGUAGCGGUGAAAUGCGUAGAUAUCGGAAGGAACAUCAGUGGCGAAGGCGACUUUCUGGACCAAGACUGACACUGAGGCACGAAAGCGUGGGUAGCAAACAGG
This 253-nucleotide ribosomal RNA is filed under the name uncultured bacterium. RNAcentral's name for it is "partial 16S ribosomal RNA". It matches the Rfam family "Bacterial small subunit ribosomal RNA", at positions 524 to 776 of the family's 1533-position model. The record is from RNAcentral.